UGGCCUCUGAGAAAUUUACGGAUUAAUGUUUACCAGAGUCUAGUCAAGGACAUGAGAACAGGCUUCUUUCUCUAUGUGAAAAGAUCCAAUAAUUUAUAAAAUCAGCAAUCUGAGUUCAAAAAGGACAGUUUCUUUGAUAGCGAAGACAAUGCUAUGGAGCUGCAAGUAUAUGUAGCUGAGAUAUUACUU
Long non-coding RNA from Phascolarctos cinereus (koala), 189 nucleotides. RefSeq lists it as uncharacterized. Lineage: Eukaryota; Metazoa; Chordata; Mammalia; Diprotodontia; Phascolarctidae. The record is from RefSeq and is a predicted model, not a curated record.